This 253-nucleotide ribosomal RNA is filed under the name uncultured bacterium. RNAcentral describes it as "partial 16S ribosomal RNA". It matches the Rfam family "Bacterial small subunit ribosomal RNA", at positions 524 to 776 of the family's 1533-position model. The record is from RNAcentral.
UACGUAGGGUGCAAGCGUUAAUCGGAAUUACUGGGCGUAAAGCGUGCGCAGGCGGUUAUGUAAGACAGUUGUGAAAUCCCCGGGCUCAACCUGGGAAUUGCAUCUGUGACUGCAUGGCUAGAGUGCGGCAGAGGGGGAUGGAAUUCCGCGUGUAGCAGUGAAAUGCGUAGAUAUGCGGAGGAACACCGAUGGCGAAGGCAAUCCCCUGGGCCUGCACUGACGCUCAUGCACGAAAGCGUGGGGAGCAAACAGG